Molecule: long non-coding RNA, 854 nt
Organism: Lagopus leucura (white-tailed ptarmigan)
Lineage: Eukaryota; Metazoa; Chordata; Aves; Galliformes; Phasianidae
Exons: 3
Source: RefSeq, a predicted model, not a curated record
GCUGCUUUAAGGGCAUUCCCAUCCUCAUGAGGACUUGAAAAGCGACUUGAAAAGCUCCAGGUUUUUGGGCAGCUGCCAAGUACAGAUAUUAAAACCUAGAAAUCUCUUCCACUGUCCAGGGACACCACAGGAACUCCUUUUGCUUUGAACAGAUGCAGCGCCCUUCCUCCUCCUCACUGCUGUUUCCUACUGAGUGUCUGCUGGAAUGAGCUGGUUGGUGGCCAUCGAAAUGUCUUCGUCUUGACUUUGUGUUAUUCCCUAUAGCAGUUCAUAUAUAAAAGCACAGGGAUGCUCUUUGUGGAGGGCCUGGAACGAACCAACCUCUUCUCAUUUUUGCCCUGAAGAAGCUGCUAAAAAGAGGAAAUAGAAUCACAAAGGUUGGAAAAGACCACCUUAAAAUCAUCCAAUUCAACCAUCAACCCAUCUCCUCCAUGCUCUCUGACCGUAUGCCUGAGUGCCACAAAGCAGAAGCAGAACUUGGGAGAAAACUGAAGCAGGAAUUGGGAAGGGAUUCUCAGUUUGGAAUGCUGGUUUAGAACUCUGUCAGCAUAUUCACUGAAGGUGAGGGAGGUUUUAGCCUUCAUAAUGUCUUCUUUUACCAUGUUCAUAAAAUAUUACUCUACUGCAUUCAUUCAUCUUUGAAAACCCAUCUUAAAAUACCAAAUGGAAAAAAAGCUGAUAUCGAUGGAGUUACUUACAUUGAUUUCCAGCUGGAAGGUUUAUCUGAACAGAGAUUUAAUGUCUGAACAGCCAUGAUGAGGUCCAUACAGCCUCUUACAACAUCCAACAUUGGGGAAAUUAAAAGAACAGAGAAUGCAAACCGUGGCAGUUCUCUUGUACACCUUCAUAGCAUU